AGAUUGAUGUUGCUCCAAUAGAUGUUGACGAUGAAGUUGAAGAACAAGUACAUGGUGGUGUUAUUCGGUUUGUUCGUACUGCCGGUGAUGAUUAUUUUAGAAUUCCUAAUCCUGUUUCACAUAUGGCUAAGCUUCAUGAAGGGUUAAAAGAUUUGACCAUAAAAUUUUUGCAUCUGGACCCGCCACAGCAGAUUACUAACGGUACCAGACGUGAAAGAAGACCCAAUGGUCGUGGUUAUCGUUACGCUUUAACCUCUUGGAAGAAGUUCAUGAAAGCUGCUCAAAUUAAGGCCCGUGACCAGAAAUGGAAGAAGGUGCAAUCACAUUGUUGAAUAAUUUGGACCUCAAUGUUGAUAACUAUACCAUAAGAAUACGCAUUGUUCGUUUGUGGACAAGAGCUGAUUUCAAUAACGCUAGAAAAGUGUAUUGUUAUGAUAUGAUAUUCAUGGACAGUGAGGGAACAAAAAUGCAAGCUUUUGUUUUGGCUAAAAAUGCAGCUGGAUAUCAACAUCUUUUGGAAGAAAAGCGUUGUUUGACUAUUAGAAAUCCUUCAUUGGGUGAGAAUCGU
Long non-coding RNA from Helianthus annuus (common sunflower), 568 nucleotides. RefSeq lists it as uncharacterized. The record is from RefSeq and is a predicted model, not a curated record. The transcript has 4 exons. Lineage: Eukaryota; Viridiplantae; Streptophyta; Magnoliopsida; Asterales; Asteraceae.